RNAcentral lists this ribosomal RNA (254 nucleotides) under uncultured bacterium. RNAcentral describes it as "partial 16S ribosomal RNA". It matches the Rfam family "Bacterial small subunit ribosomal RNA", at positions 524 to 776 of the family's 1533-position model. The record is from RNAcentral.
UACGUAGGGUGCAAGCGUUGUCCGGAAUCACUGGGCGUAAAGCGCACGUAGGCGGAUCUUUAAGUCAGGGGUGAAAUCCUGGAGCUCAACUCCAGAACUGCCUCUGAUACUGGGGAUCUUGAGUCCGGAAGAGGUAAGUGGAACUGCGAGUGUAGAGGUGAAAAUUCGUAGAUAUUCGCAAGAACACCAGUGGCGAAGGCGGCUCACUGGCCCGAUACUGACGCUGAGGCACGAAAGCGUGGGGAGCAAACAGG